Molecule: ribosomal RNA, 501 nt
Filed under: uncultured bacterium
Lineage: Bacteria
Description: partial 16S ribosomal RNA
Rfam family: Bacterial small subunit ribosomal RNA
Source: RNAcentral
AUUGAACGCUGGCGGCAGGCUUAACACAUGCAAGUCGAGCGGGGGAAGGUAGCUUGCUACCGGGCCUAGCGGCGGACGGGUGAGUAAUGCUUAGGAAUCUGCCUAUUAGUGGGGGACAACAUCUCGAAAGGGAUGCUAAUACCGCAUACGUCCUACGGGAGAAAGCAGGGGAUCUUCGGACCUUGCGCUAAUAGAUGAGCCUAAGUCGGAUUAGCUAGUUGGUGGGGUAAAGGCCUACCAAGGCGACGAUCUGUAGCGGGUCUGAGAGGAUGAUCCGCCACACUGGGACUGAGACACGGCCCAGACUCCUACGGGAGGCAGCAGUGGGGAAUAUUGGACAAUGGGGGGAACCCUGAUCCAGCCAUGCCGCGUGUGUGAAGAAGGCCUUAUGGUUGUAAAGCACUUUAAGCGAGGAGGAGGCUACUUUAGUUAAUACCUAGAGAUAGUGGACGUUACUCGCAGAAUAAUCACCGGCUAACUCUGUGCCAGCAGCCGCCGUAA